GGAGGAAAAGAAACUAACAAGGAUUCCCCUAGUAACGGCGAGUGAAGUGGGAAAAGCUCAACUUUGUAAUCUGGCUGUCUUUGGCAGUCCGAGUUGUAGUCUAGAGAAGUGUUAUCCGCGCAGACCCUUAUAGAUUUCGGUUGGAAUGCCAAGUCAAAGAGGGUGAGAAUCCCGUAUUUGAUAAGGUGGUCUUGUGCAUUGUGAUACAUUUUCAAAGAGUCGAGUUGUUUGGGAAUGCAGCUCAAAGUGGGUGGUAAAUUCCAUCUAAAGCUAAAUAUUGGCGAGAGACCGAUAGCGAACAAGUACCGUGAGGGAAAGAUGAAAAGCACUUUGGAAAGAGAAUGAAAUAGUACCUGAAAUUGCUGAAAGGGAAACGAGUGAAGUUAGACUUGCGCAGUUGGUAUUCAGCCUUGGCUUCGGUCUUGGUGCAUUUGCCUUCUAUUGCAGGCCAACAUCAGUUUACUUUGCGGUAAAAGGGUUUGGGGAAUGUGGCUUCUUCGGGAGUGUUAUAGCCCUUUACUGGAUGCCGAAUCGUAGACUGAGGAACGCAGCGCGCCUUUAUGGCAAAGCUU
Molecule: ribosomal RNA, 572 nt
Filed under: Kondoa aeria
Lineage: Eukaryota; Fungi; Basidiomycota; Agaricostilbomycetes; Agaricostilbales; Kondoaceae
Description: partial large subunit ribosomal RNA
Rfam family: Eukaryotic large subunit ribosomal RNA
Source: RNAcentral